This 28-nucleotide non-coding RNA is filed under the name Rattus norvegicus (Norway rat). Lineage: Eukaryota; Metazoa; Chordata; Mammalia; Rodentia; Muridae. The record is from RNAcentral.
UAGGAAGUGUUAUCCUUUUGGCAGCAUC